AAUGUUUCAACGAUUCCACGAUUACUUUGCGAAAUGAAAUAGUUUCUGAUCCUUGUCGCCUGUGUCUCAUGCACACUGUUUGCAAUUUGUUCUUCCAUAAUUUCUUCGCAAAGAUCGAUAAUUGCCUUCAGUGUUAGGGCCAUAAUUGUGUCAAUUUUGUUUAUUGUAAAUCAGGUGUAAUUACACCUGUCACAUCGGAUACACCUUGUAAUAGCUUUGUAAAGUGUAAAGCCUGAAUUUACAGUGUGAAACAAUGUACAUCAGUUGUAUUUUAACAACCACGACACCAGUGGAGGUUUUGAUCGAUGAUACUUUUAAAUUCUGGUAAGUCCGAUCAUAGCUGAUUGGCAAUGUGAAUGUUGUUUCCCUUUGAAGCGAUGCGCGUUGCUAUGUCUAUACUGGAAUUAUCAUCUUCGCGACCAGUAGGCCAAAUAAACUAAGCUGUCUUUCUCAACGGCUGAAUCCAUUACAGUGGUCAGGUAAGGGCCACUAAUUUAAUUAUCCUAACCGUCGUUAAUGUAAGAUACUUUGCACCCAGUUGCAGGCCUAGAUAUCUGAGUAGUUUCCCUUUUUCUAUGAUUGUUUUCUAGUGGUCGGGUAAGGACCACUAAUAUACGUUUUCCUUCUGUUUAUACCACAUCACCGGUCACAAAUUUCCACUGUACAUUGUAGUAACAAACCUAGCUCCGCUAGGAAGACUUCUUUUAUUUUCAGCAACUUGCAAUUAGAUAAGGAGGUCCAGUAAGCCAUAGUGCUCAUGUCAGGAGCUGAUGGCACGAGGAACCGGAAGCAGGGAGGAGGAACAACGGAUGCUGGACGACCCUGCUUGUCGGGCAACCCAUUACUGAUUUCCCAGAGAUAACGGUCUGCAAGAUGAGAUGACAUUCUGGACGAAGAUUCAAAUCCCAAGGAGCCGGAAGCAGGGAGGAGGACCGACGGAAGGACUGAUGACCUGCUUGUAGAGCAAGUCUUCACCAA
Patiria miniata (bat star) is the source of this 978-nucleotide long non-coding RNA. RefSeq lists it as uncharacterized. The record is from RefSeq and is a predicted model, not a curated record. NCBI's taxonomy places the organism in Eukaryota, Metazoa, Echinodermata, Asteroidea, Valvatida, Asterinidae. The transcript has 2 exons.